Small nuclear RNA from Vulpes vulpes (red fox), 107 nucleotides. The record is from Ensembl. NCBI's taxonomy places the organism in Eukaryota, Metazoa, Chordata, Mammalia, Carnivora, Canidae.
AUGCUCACUUUGGCAGCACAUACACUAAAAUUGGAAUGAUACAGAGAAGAUUAGGAUGGCCCCUAUGCAAGGAUCACAUGCAAAUUUGUGAAGUUCCAUAUAAUUUU